CAUGCAUGUCUCAGUACGAGCCGCAUUAAGGUGAAACCGCGAAAGGCUCAUUAAAUCAGUUAUGGUUCCUUAGAUCGUACCCACAUUUACUUGGAUAACUGUGGUAAUUCUAGAGCUAAUACAUGCAAACAGAGCUCCGACCGGAGACGGAAGGAGCGCUUUUAUUAGAUCAAAACCAAUCGGUGUCGGGCUUGCCCGUCACCGUACACCUUGGUGACUCUGAAUAACUUUUUGCUGAUCGCACGGUCUCGCACCGGCGACGCAUCUUUCAAAUGUCUGCCUUAUCAACUGUCGAUGGUAGGUUCUGCGCCUACCAUGGUUGUAACGGGUAACGGGGAAUCAGGGUUCGAUUCCGGAGAGGGAGCCUGAGAAACGGCUACCACAUCCAAGGAAGGCAGCAGGCGCGCAAAUUACCCACUCCCGGCACGGGGAGGUAGUGACGAAAAAUAACGAUACGGGACUCAUCCGAGGCCCCGUAAUCGGAAUGAGUACACUCUAAACCCUUUAACGAGGAUCAAUUGGAGGGCAAGUCUGGUGCCAGCAGCCGCGGUAAUUCCAGCUCCAAUAGCGUAUAUUAAAGUUGUUGCGGUUAAAAAGCUCGUAGUCGAAUUUGUGUCUCGCGCCGCCGGUUCAUCGCUCGCGGUGUUUAACUGGCGUGUCCGCGGGACGUCCUGCCGGUGGGCCCAGUCCCUUCGGGGGCGGCCCAACUUCAAAUCCCACCGCGGUGCUCUUUACCGAGUGUCGAGGUGGGCCGGCACGUUUACUUUGAACAAAUUAGAGUGCUUAAAGCAGGCUAAAACUUCGCCUGAAUACUGUGUGCAUGGAAUAAUGGAAUAGGACCUCGGUUCUAUUUUGUUGGUUUUCGGAACUCCGAGGUAAUGAUUAAUAGGAACGGAUGGGGGCAUUCGUAUUGCGACGUUAGAGGUGAAAUUCUUGGAUCGUCGCAAGACGGACAGAAGCGAAAGCAUUUGCCAAAAACGCUUUCAUUGAUCAAGAACGAAAGUUAGAGGUUCGAAGGCGAUCAGAUACCGCCCUAGUUCUAACCAUAAACGAUGCCAGCUAGCGAUCCGCCGACGUUCCUCCGAUGACUCGGCGGGCAGCUUCCGGGAAACCAAAGCUUUUGGGUUCCGGGG
Molecule: ribosomal RNA, 1133 nt
Filed under: Serica alternata
Lineage: Eukaryota; Metazoa; Arthropoda; Insecta; Coleoptera; Scarabaeidae
Description: SSU rRNA
Rfam family: Eukaryotic small subunit ribosomal RNA
Source: RNAcentral